GCUCAGUCGCGCCACACCCCGACGGUCGCCAGCAUCCCUCUAGCAGUUGCUAGCCCCUCGCAGUCAGACAACCGAACCUCCCUGAAGAAGAUGAACAGUGUCGCAUACAAGGGCCAGAACCGAGAAAAAAAAAAACUUGUGAGGACAAUUUCGGACAAAAAAAUAUAAAUAGUGCCUCAUGAGCAUGCCGAAAAAGCCGAAAGCCAAGGCAGGUCACCUGCCUUGGACUUUCGGCUUCACAAAGCUGGCAUUUGGGGAAUGGGGGCUCAAAAAAUUUUGCCAAACGGGCUAGCAUUUGCCCAAGGACCUUUAGGCCUCCAAAGGGCUUUGGGAGGUGGUUCCCAAAUGGAGCCUAUGUUGUUUAGGCAUAAUGCAUUACUAGUAAAUCCAAAUGUUAAUACUGCAAUGCCAUAAAAUGCAUGCAAAU
This 427-nucleotide long non-coding RNA is filed under the name Eucalyptus grandis. Its description in RNAcentral is "long non-coding RNA (EGRA_LNC004075)". Lineage: Eukaryota; Viridiplantae; Streptophyta; Magnoliopsida; Myrtales; Myrtaceae. The record is from RNAcentral.